UGGGUCAGCAUUUUUGAGAAGUAAUGAUUAGCCAGGGUGGGAAAAGUCCAGAUUAGUAUUAAGUGCUUGCAUGUUAUGCACAGAAUUAGCUAACCCCAAGCCUGUGACUUAUUAUUCAGUCUGUCACCAACAGCUUUACUAGCCAGAAGGGACAGGCAAGGUCAGACAGUGUGGCGAAACCUGGGGUUGGACAGGCUGCUGCCGGCAGGUCUGAGCUACACGGAUCUGCCACCAUCAAGAGCUAAUAAGGAACAGCAGACAGUUACUGAGGUACCACUGCACCAAGCCACUGCAAUCUUUAAAGUAAAAAGAAACAUCCUGAACAAAACCAGGAUCACCAUUCCUAAACAAGUUACCUGUCCUCGUGGAAUGCUGUAGGAAACUGCCAUACAUGGGUGGCUUAACCCAGAGAGAUGUAUGUCCCACCGUUCUGAAGGCUGAUGCUGACAGAACAAGCAAUGAAAGUCAAGGAAUCCAGAUGCUCGGAGGUGAAGAUGUCCUCAGGAUCCCAGGGACAUGCAGGAGACCGUCUACCUAUGGCUGCUCUCCUCCUGCCCCUAGAUUUGCACAACACCCCUGGAACUGCUCAGCAUGUGGGAAGAACAUCCAUGGUGAC
This is a long non-coding RNA of Cavia porcellus (domestic guinea pig), 616 nucleotides long. RefSeq lists it as uncharacterized. The transcript has 3 exons. Lineage: Eukaryota; Metazoa; Chordata; Mammalia; Rodentia; Caviidae. The record is from RefSeq and is a predicted model, not a curated record.